AAAAGUUUAAUUAGUAAUUAGUAAUUUGCUUAAUUAGUGAUACCUUGUUUAUGAUAAUGCAAGCUAAGUCCUAAUCUAAUGAACUUUCACGUUUUCCUUAUUAUGUGGUUUAGGAACAUAUAUCACAUGCAUGCAGCUAUACUAGUUGUUUAGUUGUUUAAAAAAAAUUUAAAAAAUUUAAAAAAAUUUAACAUUUUCUAGUUAUUCUUGACGAUGUUAUCAGUAGAUGUUAUGUAAAGUAAACAUUUUUACUUGCGAUCAAUUUUAAAUUUUC
RNAcentral lists this long non-coding RNA (274 nucleotides) under Capsella rubella. Its description in RNAcentral is "long non-coding RNA (CRUB_LNC000962)". Lineage: Eukaryota; Viridiplantae; Streptophyta; Magnoliopsida; Brassicales; Brassicaceae. The record is from RNAcentral.